GGUGUGAUUUGAAGUUCCCUUUCAAUAUGUGAUGCAGCAGCUAAAGCAAUUGCUUCAUCUGGGAGCUGGUUCAUUGCAGCUGAUAGACCUGUAGGAUGAGUAAGUCGCGUAAUACCUAGGCGCUUAAGCCUAUACAGGCCAGCUUGCAUGCUUUCAUAUGCACAUACACUUUCCGGCGAAACUAGUCUCCUCAAUUCCUCCUCGGAUGGUAUCCGAAAAUUGAACCUCAUAACCCAUUGGAACUGUCCAUUUGAUCUUCU
Molecule: unclassified non-coding RNA, 260 nt
Filed under: Hevea brasiliensis (rubber tree)
Lineage: Eukaryota; Viridiplantae; Streptophyta; Magnoliopsida; Malpighiales; Euphorbiaceae
Source: RNAcentral